UUUUCCUGCCCUGAUGUAUUUCUUAAGUGCAGCUUUAACACUCACCACCAUCAUCAGCAUGUUAUCAACUUUUUUAGUGUAUAAGAUGAAAAGAAGUAACAACUGCCAAUCCAGAGCAGACUCAAACGCAAAUGAUUCUGUAAAUUUAGAGAGCACCCAAGAGGACAACCUUCAUUAUGCUGCUUUGAGAAAAAUUAGGACAAAACGAGCAAGAAGACAGACGAGCAACACCCAGGAUGAAUGUGUGUACUCCGAAUGUGUGUACUCGGGUAUAAAGUAUAGACAUCAGACAUAGAAUAGUGAUUUUUAGCAUUAUCUUUCUGCUGUAGUGAAAAUUUUGGCAACAAUUUUUAAAUAUUUUUUCCAACUUCUCUUUGAUCUGAAAGAAAAAUGAUUUAACUG
Long non-coding RNA from Oreochromis niloticus (Nile tilapia), 402 nucleotides. RefSeq lists it as uncharacterized. Lineage: Eukaryota; Metazoa; Chordata; Actinopteri; Cichliformes; Cichlidae. The transcript has 3 exons. The record is from RefSeq and is a predicted model, not a curated record.